GGGACUAGGUGAUUUGGGGGCGGGGCGGAGGAAGGACAUGACUAGGCUUGGUAAAUCCGCCCCGCCCCCAAAUCACCUAGUCCCAGUCUUUUCAU
Paramuricea clavata is the source of this 95-nucleotide non-coding RNA. The record is from the annotation of a GenBank genome assembly. Lineage: Eukaryota; Metazoa; Cnidaria; Anthozoa; Malacalcyonacea; Plexauridae.